RNAcentral lists this ribosomal RNA (253 nucleotides) under uncultured bacterium. RNAcentral describes it as "partial 16S ribosomal RNA". It matches the Rfam family "Bacterial small subunit ribosomal RNA", at positions 524 to 776 of the family's 1533-position model. The record is from RNAcentral.
UACGAAGGGGGCUAGCGUUGCUCGGAAUUACUGGGCGUAAAGGGAGCGUAGGCGGGUUAUCAAGUUGGAGGUGAAAGCCCAGGGCUCAACCUUGGAAUUGCCUUCAAAACUGAUAGCCUAGAGUAUGAUAGAGGUAUGUGGAACUCCGAGUGUAGAGGUGAAAUUCGUAGAUAUUCGGAAGAACACCAGUGGCGAAGGCGACAUACUGGGUCAUGACUGACGCUGAGGCUCGAAAGCGUGGGGAGCGAACAGG